UCCUAGGCAACCCUCUCCCUGUUCACCCACAGGGAUGCUCCUGGCGGUCUUUGCGGGGAGAACAUGAGGAUGUGAGAAUCUAAUGAUUUAACACGGAAAGUUUCACUAGUUUUGACGUGGCUGAGUUUUAAGAUCGACUUUUCCCCCUAAGGUCGGCAGAGGCCCUGUUAAAUCUUGGAUAACAGGAAACACGUUUUUCUCCUCAGUCGGGGCUGCAAGGGUUCUGACACAAGAGGCAGCAAAUACAAAACGGCUGUUCAUUGAGAAAGGGGCAGGAGGACAGGAAGAGCUCAAGAGGCUGAAUUUCCUAUCAGGCAGGGUGCUGAGACGAGCGGGCUGAGGAGCUUACACAUCAAGGAAUUGACCAGGAGGUGGCUCUCGUGAACAUGUACAGGACGGCGUGGGCCAACACCAGCACUGGUGAGCACCUACUGUGCGCCGGGCACUGUGCCAAAUGCUUUCAUCCAUGACUGCAUUUAAUUCCGCAACGGUCCUGCAUCGAGUAGGGGUGAGCCAUUGUUCCCGUCCCGGCAAGGACACUGAGGCCAAGAAGUGAGGUGACUUGCCCAAAGCUGUAACCCUAAAACUGCUCUAAGAGAUAAAGUCUAUUAUAAGAAAACCAAAAACAAAGCAAAAAAAGUCCUGAGCCUUUGACUGAGUCCUAGGUUUUCUUAAUUGCUGGAAAUAAAAACCCUUUUUAGCAGAAGAUAAAACAGGGCCUGUGUCACUCAGGCUUCUCCUCCUCCUUUCUUCUGACACCAGGAAGUGACUGGGGACCCAAUUAGAUAUUUAACCAGAGAGUAGGGGUGUCUGUGGUAGCCUGACUUCCACCUCUGCUUCUUCUAGUACUGCCGUGAUGGUGACAUUGAGCUACAUGUAAUCCUGGGCCCUGGGUGAGGAGAGGACCCAGGACCAUCCCACCCUGAAGCCCCCUCCCCUGCCACAGGCAAAGCAUGGAUGCC
Molecule: long non-coding RNA, 962 nt
Organism: Rhinolophus ferrumequinum (greater horseshoe bat)
Lineage: Eukaryota; Metazoa; Chordata; Mammalia; Chiroptera; Rhinolophidae
Exons: 4
Source: RefSeq, a predicted model, not a curated record